Molecule: non-coding RNA, 447 nt
Organism: Lonchura striata (white-rumped munia)
Lineage: Eukaryota; Metazoa; Chordata; Aves; Passeriformes; Estrildidae
Source: RefSeq, a predicted model, not a curated record
GGAAGAUGAGUGCGGGCACCCCUGGGAGCAUCCCCCUGCUGGUUGCGGGGACCCCAUGGGGGCUGCGACCCCCCGAUUCACACUCGCUGCGAGUCCCAGGUGUUAUGAACAAAAGUGCCUUGCUGGUUCCCAUGGUAAUACUGGGACACUGCUGGCUUGAGCUAGGAGGGAAGGAGAAGGAUAGCUGCUGCUGGACCUCGGUAACAGACCUAGGCUCAUCCCCUUGCCAGGAGGAAAAGAUAGUAGGACGGUCUGCUGGUCAGGACUUCAGAUCCAGGCUGUACACCUCUUCACCUCUGGCUACCAGUGUGCCACGGAGGCUCCAGGGACAGACUCUGCAGCCUUCUCACCCUUUGGCUGCCGGGAAAGCUACAACAGCGGGAGUGAGCUCCGUGUUGAGCCCCCUGCCCAGCUGAUCUUUUUAAUAAAGAGCUGAACAUUAAUAAA